RNAcentral lists this ribosomal RNA (1279 nucleotides) under Ochthebius minoicus. RNAcentral describes it as "16S ribosomal RNA". The stretch from base 1037 to 1196 matches the Rfam family "Archaeal large subunit ribosomal RNA", at positions 2542 to 2701 of the family's 2987-position model. The record is from RNAcentral. Lineage: Eukaryota; Metazoa; Arthropoda; Insecta; Coleoptera; Hydraenidae.
AUUAAUAAAUUUAUUUAAUAGAUUUUUGAAUAAAAUAAUUUUAUGUUUUAUUAUAAAAAUAGAAAAAAUUUAUUUUAUUAUAGUUAAAAGUAUAGUAAUAGAAAAUUUAAAUAAAUUGAAAAUUUAAAUUUAAUUAAGAAUAAUUAAUUUUUAGUACCUUGUGUAUCAGGGUUUAUCAAAAUUAUUUAAUAAAAUUAAAUUUCCCGAUUUUAAAAGAGCUAAAAAUUUAUUUUUUUUAAUGUUUAAAAAUUAUUAUAAAUAAAUUUUUUGUAAUGAAAUGUUAUUCGUUUUUAAAUAUAUCUGGUUUUUUAAGAAAUAAAUUUAAUUUAUUUAUUAAUAAAAAUUAAUUUUUUUUAAAAAUUUGAUUUUAUUAAUAAUUAAUAUUUUAAGGGAUAAUCUUUAAAAUAUAUUUAUAUAAUGAUUUAUUUUAAUAAAAAUAAAAGUAGAAUUAAAAAUUUUAAUCUUUAAUAAUUUGUUAUAAUUAAUUUUUUUUUAUUAUUAUUUAUAUAUUAUUUAUAUUUUUUAUUAAAAUUAUUUAUUUAAUUUUUAAAUAAAUUUAAUAAUGAUAAAAUUAGUAUAAUUUAUUGUAAAAAUAUUUUAUUUUUAUAAGGUUAAGUUAAGGAAUUCGGCAAAAUAAUUUUUCGCCUGUUUAUUAAAAACAUGUCUUUUUGAUAAUAAUAUAAAGUCUAACCUGCCCAAUGAAAAUUUAAUGGCUGCGGUAUUUUGACCGUACAAAGGUAGCAUAAUCAUUAGUUUUUUAAUUGAAAGCUAGAAUGAAUGGUUGAACGAAAAAAUUACUGUCUCAAUUUAAUUUAAUUAGAAUUUUAUUUUUAAGUUAAAAAGCUUAAAUAAAUUUAAAAGACGAGAAGACCCUAUAGAGUUUAAUAUUAUUUAAAUUUUGUUUUUUAUAAAUAAAAAAAUUUAAAUAAUAUUUAAUUGGGGUGAUUAAUAAAUUUAAUAAACUUUAUUUUUUUUUUACAUUAAUAUAUGACUUUUUGAUCCAUUAUUUAUGAUUAAAAGAUUAAAUUACCUUAGGGAUAACAGCGUUAUCUUUUUAGAGAGUUCAAAUCGAAAAAAAGGAUUGCGACCUCGAUGUUGGAUUAAAAUUAAUUUUUGGUGUAGAAGCUAAAUAUAUUGAGUCUGUUCGACUUUUAAAAUUUUACAUGAUCUGAGUUUAAACCGGUGUGAGCCAGGUUGGUUUCUAUCUUUAAAUAAUAAUAAUAUUUUAGUACGAAAGGACCAAAUAUUUAUAAUAGUUAUUUAAUUAAUGAAUUUUAUU